AUGAGUACUACAUUCUUUGACAAUUAUAUGGCAGCUGAAGAAGUAGGGGCAUUGAGGAAUGAAGGAUACCUCCAAAUUUUUAUAUUAAUAGGUACUGUCAUUUUUGUACUCCUCAAUACUAUAUUUAGAGAUGAAAAAAUAAAAAAUAUUGAGGAUAAAAUAAAACAAAAUGAGGAUAAAAUAAAACAAAAUGAGGAUAAAAUAAAACAAAAUGAGGAUAAAAUAAAACAAAAUGAGGAUAAAAUAGAAAAUAUUGAGGAUAAAAUAGAAAAUGUUGAGGAUAAAAUAGAAAAAAAUGAGGAUAAAAUAGAAAAUAUUGAGGAUAAAAUAGAAAAUAUUGAGGAUAAAAUAGAAAAAAUUGAGGAUACAAUAGAAAAAAUUGAGGAUACAAUAGAAAAAAUUGAGGAUAAAAUAGGAAAUAUUGAGAAUAAAAUAGAAAAACUUGAGGAUAAAAUAGGAAAUAUUGAGAAUAAAAUAGGAAAUAUUGAGGAUAAAAUGGGAGAUAUGGAAGAUAAAAUAGGAAAAAUUGAGGAUAAAAUGCAAGCCCAAUUAGAAGAUCUAAAAUGUUUCUUACAGGAUCAAUGGGCAAACACCCACUCUACCAGAAACAGACCUGUUUCUGAACCUUUGAAUGAGGAAAUUUCCUUCCCUGAAAUAGAGAUGGAAAACACCUUCCCUAUAGCCCAGUUAACAGACUGCUUCUCUCGUGCAGUGCAAAUCUUGUCUGAAUUUAAUCCCCAAAACCCUUCCCCUGCAAUCCCAGCUUCUCAUGUUCCUUCUCCUACAGAAAACCAAAUUCCAAUGCAAGGGAGAUCUUGUCCUCCUAGAGAAACCUGUCCUUGUCAAACUGACCCACAGGUGCAAAAUUCAACUAGAGGCCUGUUUCCUCUAAGAGAAGUACCUGAAAUAGGACGAAAUGGGGAUGUGGUGACUUUAAGACAUAGGAUACCGUUUACUCCCCAAGAAAUAAAUGAAUUUACACGAAAUAUCCCCACAUAUGAACAAGAUCCUUUUCUAGUAACAAAAAAGAUAGGAGACAUAUUUUUUCAAUAUAAUCCGUCUUACAAGGACGUUGAGAGCUUACUACAGGCUUUUUUAAGUGAACGUGAAAAAAAUAAAAUAAUUGCUCAUGUCAACAAAACCCGGGGGCGUAAUGCAGCACAUUGGCCAUCUCAGGAUCCUGAAUGGGACUAUAAUAAUCCUGAGGACUAUCUACAACUAUACCGUUGUAGAGAGGCCAUCCUCACGGCCAUGAAGGAAUGUGCGGACAGUACAGAUAAGUGGAUGGAACUGGAAAAAAUUAAGCAAAAGGAAAACGAAACACCCUCCAGAUUUAUGGACAGAAUUAUCGAGUUUGGGGACAGAUACUUAGAUUGGGACUUAAAUAAAGAGAAUAGUUUAAGACAAGUUAGAAGAAUCUUUGUAAAUAAUUGUUGCAAAGUAAUUAAAAAUUAUUUUAAAACACAAUGCCCAAGAUGGUCAGAUAUGGACCUUGAAGAAUUGCGAAAAACAGCUAUAUAUGUUUUUAAGGGAAACGAAGAAAAGGAGAAAGAGAAUAAUGAUGACAUGGAGGAAAUGAAGAAAAAAAUGAGAUGUGUAAUAGAUAGGAUAACUAAAUUAGAAAGUGGGCAUGAUAAUGAACCAACGACAAUUGCCCCUCUCCAGAAAUCCAAUUAUCAAUCCAUUACUUGCCACUUCUGUGAGAAGAAGGGCCACAAAAUGAUGGAAUGUAGAACCUUUCUUAAGAUGUUUGGAAGGAAUACACAGUUUAAUAAUGGUUUUAGAAAUAAUAACUAUAGAAAUUAUGAUAAUGGUUAUAGAAACCAGAAUUCUAGAAAUUAUAAUAAUGACUAUGGAAAUAACUAUAAUGAAUAUAGAAAUAAGAACUUUAGAAACCAGAAUUAUAGAAAUAGGAAUUGGGAAUUUAAUGACAAUGCUCAAAUUGAAGAAAAUUUUAAUGAUAAUACUCAACAAUAUAUGAGAAAUGGCGCUCGUCCAAAAAUUACUCGAGGUACUAAUGAUCCUCAGAGAGGUGCCCUUCAGGAGGGUGCCCAGGGAACUUCCCAGUAUAAUAAAGAUGAUUCUUCUUAG
Monodelphis domestica (gray short-tailed opossum) is the source of this 2091-nucleotide long non-coding RNA. The record is from Ensembl. Lineage: Eukaryota; Metazoa; Chordata; Mammalia; Didelphimorphia; Didelphidae.